UACGAAGGGGGCUAGCGUUGCUCGGAAUCACUGGGCGUAAAGCGCACGUAGGCGGCUUUCUAAGUCAGGGGUGAAAUCCUGGAGCUCAACUCCAGAACUGCCUUUGAUACUGGAGAGCUUGAGUCCGGAAGAGGUGAGUGGAACUCCGAGUGUAGAGGUGAAAUUCGUAGAUAUUCGGAAGAACGCCAGUGGCGAAGGCGGCUCACUGGUCCGGUACUGACGCUGAUGUGCGAAAGCGUGGGGAGCAAACAGG
Molecule: ribosomal RNA, 253 nt
Filed under: uncultured bacterium
Lineage: Bacteria
Description: partial 16S ribosomal RNA
Rfam family: Bacterial small subunit ribosomal RNA
Source: RNAcentral